CCCUCAUGCAGUGGCAGCGCCCAGCGUGUCCCUCGUGUGCCACGUCCAGAGUACCGGUGUCCGUGGUGCAGGCAUUAGCGGUGCCAGUUCCUGGCCAUGAAAAAAAGUUCCUCUUUUUCAUCCCAUCUGUGAAGACAUGAGAAAGCAAAUAGUGAAUGCGAAAGGUUUAAGUUAUGAAUUGUAUAUGUGUGAUUACCCCUCAGUCGGCCUUCUCUGUGAUUUGAGUGGAAACCGAUGGGACGCCAUGGGAGAAAGGGGCCUUCAGCAAACACCACAGUCGGUCUCCAAACCUCCCACUGGCAAGAAACCACUUUGCUCAGAGGUUUAGUUCUCUCUUCCCUCUCCUGGCAGACCCAUCC
Molecule: long non-coding RNA, 359 nt
Organism: Lemur catta (Ring-tailed lemur)
Lineage: Eukaryota; Metazoa; Chordata; Mammalia; Primates; Lemuridae
Exons: 3
Source: RefSeq, a predicted model, not a curated record